Molecule: non-coding RNA, 474 nt
Organism: Pelobates cultripes (western spadefoot toad)
Lineage: Eukaryota; Metazoa; Chordata; Amphibia; Anura; Pelobatidae
Source: the annotation of a GenBank genome assembly
UUUUUUUUUUAUAUUCUUUAUUUUUGAACAUGCAUGAGGUUACAUUGCAUCCUGCAUUGCCACAACAACAAAUGCAAGGAUUUGCGGUACAUUCAGUGAUACAUGUGAAGUAAUAGUGAGGACUACUAGAGAUAAUACUUGCAUCAUUUAGGAAAACAGCAUGAAAUUUUAUAUUUAACGAUUAAGCUAGCAACAGUAUUGUAGAUACAACAUGAGUUAGUCAAGGUAAUGUAGACUUAACUAGUGGCUCAUUUUUAAGUUAGAGAUCAUGCAGGCUAAACGUAAACAGGCUUAGUUAGUUAUGUAGCUAUACAGUAGGUUCAGUAACUUCAGUUAAGAUGUAGUGUGGAAUAAGAGUGUACGUUGCUGUGAGUGCCGUAUACAUUGCGCUAACUUGCGGUCACUGGUAGAUACAACUUAUAGAUUAACUUUCAUACUAUGUCUAGGUAGGUCAUAUUAUGAAGACUAGUGGGG